UACGUAGGGUGCAAGCGUUUAAUCGGAAUACUGGGCGUAAAGCGUGCGCAGGCGGUUUUGUAAGGUCUGUCGUGAAAGCCCCGGGCUCAACCUGGGAAUGGCGAUGGAGACUGCAAGGCUAGAGUGUGUCAGAGGGGGGUAGAAUUCCACGUGUAGCAGUGAAAUGCGUAGAGAGUGUGGAGGAACACCGAUGGCGAAGGCAGCCCCCUGGGAUA
This 215-nucleotide ribosomal RNA is filed under the name uncultured bacterium. Its description in RNAcentral is "partial 16S ribosomal RNA". It matches the Rfam family "Bacterial small subunit ribosomal RNA", at positions 524 to 736 of the family's 1533-position model. The record is from RNAcentral.